AACUGAAAACAUGAAAUAAAAUUUCAUAUUUUUACUUUUCUACUUAUCCCAAAUCUGUCAUCCAUUAACUUUGUUUAUGCUACACUUUGUUGAACCACUUUGCUGUUUAAAGGCCUUUUUUUUAAGUUUAUUUAUUUAUUUUUAGUAAUCUCUACACCCAAUGUGGGGCUUGAACUCACAACCCUGAGAUCAAUCGUCACAUCACAUGCUCUUCCGACUGAGCCAGCCAGGAGCUCCUUAUGAAAUACUACCUUAUUAUAGCCAUCAUAUUGGAUCCAAUGUUAGUCAUCAUGUCUCCUUGGUCUUCUCCAAUCUGUGACAUUUCCUCAAUCUUCCCUUAUUUUUCAUGACACUUUUGAAGAGAACUAGUCAGCUACUUCAAGAAUGCCUCUCAAUUUAGGACACGAUUGGAAACAUUGGUUAUACUACCAAACUUUGACUAGAAUGAUGUAUUUAAGACAUACGUAUGUAGAUAUAAUAGUUAAGAAACUAAGGUUAACUUUGUGGAAUCAAUAAAGCCCCAUGGAAAAAUCAGUCUGGCGCCCUGCUUACCAAGUUCCCAACAGCCUUACCAGGCCUAACUUGAGGAACCCACCUGCACAACCACUUCCUGAAAUAAGACACAACACUUUAAUUAAAUUGAGUUAUUCUCAGGACCAAGAGAUUGGUUCCACUGAAUAUGAAACAAUCUACCAACACAGGACAGGCUCAAACCUAUUUAUACCAUGGGGCACCUGGAUGGCUCAGUCAGUUUAGUACCCAACUCUUGAUUUUGGCUCAGGUCAUGAUU
Molecule: long non-coding RNA, 790 nt
Organism: Lynx canadensis (Canada lynx)
Lineage: Eukaryota; Metazoa; Chordata; Mammalia; Carnivora; Felidae
Exons: 4
Source: RefSeq, a predicted model, not a curated record